GAGUGGCGGACGGGUGAGUAAUGUCUGGGAAACUGCCUGAUGGAGGGGGAUAACUACUGGAAACGGUGGCUAAUACCGCAUAACGUCGCAAGACCAAAGAGGGGGACCUUCGGGCCUCUUGCCAUCAGAUGUGCCCAGAUGGGAUUAGCUUGUUGGUGAGGUAACGGCUCACCAAGGCGACGAUCCCUAGCUGGUCUGAGAGGAUGACCAGCCACACUGGAACUGAGACACGGUCCAGACUCCUACGGGAGGCAGCAGUGGGGAAUAUUGCACAAUGGGCGCAAGCCUGAUGCAGCCAUGCCGCGUGUAUGAAGAAGGCCUUCGGGUUGUAAAGUACUUUCAGCGGGGAGGAAGGUGUUGUGGUUAAUAACCGCAGCAAUUGACGUUACCCGCAGAAGAAGCACCGGCUAACUCCGUGCCAGCAGCCGCGGUAAUACGGAGGGUGCAAGCGUUAAUCGGAAUUACUGGGCGUAAAGCGCACGCAGGCGGUCUGUCAAGUC
This 500-nucleotide ribosomal RNA is filed under the name Salmonella enterica subsp. enterica serovar Enteritidis. Its description in RNAcentral is "bacterial SSU rRNA". It matches the Rfam family "Bacterial small subunit ribosomal RNA", at positions 93 to 589 of the family's 1533-position model. Lineage: Bacteria; Pseudomonadati; Pseudomonadota; Gammaproteobacteria; Enterobacterales; Enterobacteriaceae. The record is from RNAcentral.